Molecule: long non-coding RNA, 982 nt
Filed under: Sus scrofa (pig)
Lineage: Eukaryota; Metazoa; Chordata; Mammalia; Artiodactyla; Suidae
Description: lncRNA (ENSSSCG00060014471.1)
Source: RNAcentral
CCCAGGCGACGUGGACAAGGCUCUGAAAUACCUGGAGGUGAGGGGGCAGCUAGGCAGGUGGCUACACUGGAGGCAGGACCACCAGCUCUAUCCCUGACUUUGUCCCCUGACCUCUGGCAAGUGGCAGCCACUCCCUCCUCUGCCCUGGGUCUUACCCUGCGGGUCCCACUGCAGCCACCAGGGGGCGGCUGCGAGCCAAGAAGAGAAGGCCCAGGAAAGGAACAUCUGGCUUCAGCAGGGCCCAGCCUCGCUCCUGGCUCCCUGUCCAGUCCCCCCACCUACACAGUAAGGUCUGCAACCUUCUAGGACAGCCAGAUCCUCACCUACCACUACGGAAUCCCGACCUCUCUCCGGAAGACAGGCCAGCAGUGGGACUUCCCCAACGCCUGGGCCCCCCUGCAGGACCUGGUCAUCAGAGGUCUGGCCAAGUCUCCUUCAGCCAGAGCCCAGGAAGUGGCUUUCCAGCUGGCCCAGAAUUGGAUCCGCACCAACUUUGAUGUCUACUCCAGGAGGUCAGCCAUGUACGAGAAGUAUGACAUCAGCAACGGUGGACAGCCGGGUGGUGGAGGGGAGUAUGAAGUUCAGGUGAGUGGCCCAUAUCCUACAGGGACCUUUGGGGCUCUGCUUCCCCACAACUGACCAUGACUUGCCCUUUCUGGGUUUCAGUUUCUUGGGUGCAUGUGGGUUAGUCCACAUGCUUCACUGUCCUGCUGAGAUGUUUAUAAAUGCUAAAAAACCACCCGGCCUGAAGUCCCAAAACCAUGAGUCACAAGUGCUAUGAAGGAGGGUAGAGGAGGUGGAAGCUGAACAAGUGUUGAACUCUGCCCUCCUGCACUAUCUCUUCGAAGGAGCCCAAAUUUGAACAUAUUAGUCUAGAUCAUAUCAUGCCUCUGGGCAUUUUUAAAAACAAUAGAGCAAUGAUCCAGCAGUUAUUUUAUCAGCUGAAUGUGCUCAGGGAAAGAAAGGAAGAAAGCCCUGCCAA